Molecule: long non-coding RNA, 3017 nt
Filed under: Capsella rubella
Lineage: Eukaryota; Viridiplantae; Streptophyta; Magnoliopsida; Brassicales; Brassicaceae
Description: long non-coding RNA (CRUB_LNC003770)
Source: RNAcentral
GAUAAAAAGAUUGGAAAAUAGUUUUAUUAUAAGAUUAAAACAGCUAAAUAUAAUAAUGUUACGUAUCAGAACUUGGUGCGGGUGCAACCUUUGUUCUGACACAUUCACAAAAACAAAGUAAAAAUAAUAUGAACGAGACAAGUCCCCAUCCUAGAAAUAUACAGAUUAUACCCAAAUACUCCAUAUUGUCUUUUCUUCUUCUUACGAAAGUUCCUACACAAACACGAAAGAAGGUUAGGUUAUUAUACAGUGAUCUUUAUAAUAGGUGUGUAUAUAUAUAAGUCAUAUAAUUGCCUUAUCUCUACAACUUGGGAAUCUAGGUUAACAUAUGUAAUAUAUAUGCAUAAGAAAAAGAAAUGAAAGGUUAACAUAAUACAAUAAGAUGCAAAAUAUAAGCGUCAGAGAAGAAAAGGUUUUUUUCCAUUUUUUAUAGAAAUUUUUGUACAUACAAACGAGACUAUUUUUUUUAGGGUAUUUGAAGUAAUCUAAAUAAUCAACUGGUAUUUCUUAUAAUUAUUUAAAAUUUAUUAAAAUUUGAAGCUGAACGAAUAAUUAAUUUAUUAAAUAAAUAAUUAGAAAAGAAUGUGAAAUGGAGCAAUUGAAAAAAAAAAUUAAAAUGUUUAAGGAAAUAUAAAAGAAACAAAAAAAAAAUCAGCUAAUGAUAUGAGGCUUAGAUUUUGGUUUAACCAAACGGAAUCAUUUGGUUAGUUAGGUUUAACCCAAAUAACCGAAUAAUAGAACAGUUUAGGUGAACCGAACAAAAUUUAAAAUGUCGUUGAUCGGUUUAAUUAAGAGAACCGAUUCUGAACCAAAAAUAAUAAAAAAAUCUCAGUUUUGAGUUUUGAUUCAGUUUUGUUCACUCAGUAUGGUUAAAUGUCCCAGGCCUAAAUGAUAUAUAAUAUAUAUGAUUGAUUUAGUAAUUAAGAAACUCCUAAAACAGAGAAGAAGAGAAACAAAAGAUAUGUCAAAAUCUUCUUUAGACAACAAAAAGAAAAAAAACUCAAAGGUCUAAAUAAAAAUGAUUCCCAAUUAACUCCUCAAAGUCUUAUGUGAUCAAGAUGAAAUUCUAAGAAAAUUAAUUUAUUUGCAUUUAAUAAAAAAGGAAAAUGAAAAUGAAUGAAGAGUGAAGUCAACAAAGAAGAGCCCCUCGGGCGCAAUGCAUGCCGUCUUGUUUUGAUAAUUGCCGGCAAUUUCAAUCUCUACCAUUCCUUCUCUUAUUGUCUCCUCUCCUCCCAAUAAUUCAUGCAUCUGCCUAAAUUAUCUAAUCAAUUUUUUUCUUUUCUUUCUCAUUGGUAUUGUAAUAACAAAACUACAAUGGGAUGAUUCACAUUCAGAUAAAUUAAACCACUCUUUGUAUGUUUUAGUAUAAUCCUAUUUGUAUUAGAAAAAAAAAAAAUCAUUUCGAAGUUUAUGAUAUACUCUCUCGAUUUCAAAUUAGUUGUCAUUUUUUACCGAUUUUUUCAAAUUAGUUAUCGUUGUCGGUAAGUCCGAUAACAGAGCAAUUAGCAACUGUUAGUAUGUUAACAACAUGUUUUAUGAAUGGUUUGCAUUUUUAAUCUCUUUAUGAAGUAUGUACAGCUUUAUUUCAUGUUUUAAUCUGCAAGUCAAUGUGUAUGUAUGGUUUAAAUGGUUUUCGUGAAAGUUUAUGGUUUAAUUGACGUAAAUGAUUGUGUUCAUGAAUUUAAUGACAUUUUCCCUAUUAAAUUUUGAUGUUAACUUUCUAUUAAAUAUUUCCAUUUUUUUUUGUUAAAUUCUCAAGAAAUUUCUAGUAUGUUGCAUACUUUCCAUUUUAUCUACAUAUUUGUUAUAUCACGUUUCAACACCUGAAUAUUUGUCAAUAUUGGGGUUUUUUAAAUAAACUUACAAGAUGCAUUCAUUAUUUGUAUAUAUAUGUAGCGUGAACGCUCGAAACAAGGGAAGCUACGUAAUUGCUACGACACUAUAACUUUUUAUACUAGUUUUAAAUGAACUAGGAUGACAUAUGUUAUAAAUUUGCCAAUUUGAUUUGACGUUGAACCAACCAAUCUCAUAAGAAAAAAACAACUAUACAUUAAAUACAAAUAUAUAAUGUAUAGUCUUCUUAUUCACAUUACAAAACUAACUCAAAUAUGUAUAUAUUAUAAUUUAGAUUACCAAAAAACAAAAAAGUAGGAUUAAGAAGAAACAAAAGUUGUAAGUGUGAACAACAAUUAUAAUGGGUGUGUUUACAAUAUAAUCUGAACAACAAUUAUUAAAACUCGAUCAAACUAUGACUUUUUCCCUUUGACAAAUUUACAUAUUGACCUUUAGAUGAAAUAAAAACUUGAUUUUAUGAGAUUAAUAUAGAUUUCGGUUCGUGGUUAGAAGGAAAAAAGUUAUUUUAAGAGAUUAAUAUAGAUUUCGAUAUGAAAUAAAAAAUAUAUUUUAAGAGAUUAGUAUAGAUAUUCAUAUAUGACUUUUUUUGUAAAACCUAAAAAAAAAAACUUGAUUUUAGAAGAUUAGUAUAAAUUUUGGUGUGUAAUUUUGCCGGUUAGCUAGCUAGAGAACACAAAUCCAAACUAGAUUAUAAAAUGUAUGAAAAUUUUAUUUUUAUUUUUUAACAAAAUAAAAGUUACAUAUUGAAGGUAGUAGUAAUUAAAAGAGAGAAAUAAAUAAUUAAAAAAAUGCCUGGCCUUCCCAUGUACGCCGACGACGACAACGACUCAUCAAGACAACUCUUUAUUUUUCCCGGCGAAACAACGAAGUAACCUCUAAUGCAUCUCCUCGUAUAUAUGUACUAGUGGUCUCUUUGUGAUUGUGUAAGUACAUGUAAGUGAUCUUUCAUGUCUUUUGAUCUUCAUCUUCAUCAUCUUCUUGAAUCUUGAGAUCUUCUUGAAUCUUUGAGAUUUGUAUCUUUGUGAGUCUUCUUUGAGAGAAAGAGAGAGAGGAAGAGGAUGAUGAAGAACUUUGAAACUCAAACUCUUGUCUUCAUUUGGAGUUUUUGUUUUAUAGAGUACAAUAUUGUCACACGUAUGAUCUCACUAAAUAGAGGUUUAGUC